Molecule: ribosomal RNA, 621 nt
Filed under: uncultured bacterium
Lineage: Bacteria
Description: bacterial SSU rRNA
Rfam family: Bacterial small subunit ribosomal RNA
Source: RNAcentral
CCUACGGGAGGCAGCAGUGGGGAAUAUUGGACAAUGGGCGCAAGCCUGAUCCAGCCAUACCGCGUGGGUGAAGAAGGCCUUCGGGUUGUAAAGCCCUUUUGUUGGGAAAGAAAUCCAGCUGGUUAAUACCCGGUUGGGAUGACGGUACCCAAAGAAUAAGCACCGGCUAACUUCGUGCCAGCAGCCGCGGUAAUACGAAGGGUGCAAGCGUUACUCGGAAUUACUGGGCGUAAAGCGUGCGUAGGUGGUCGUUUAAGUCUGUUGUGAAAGCCCUGGGCUCAACCUGGGAACUGCAGUGGAAACUGGACGACUAGAGUGUGGUAGAGGGUAGCGGAAUUCCUGGUGUAGCAGUGAAAUGCGUAGAGAUCAGGAGGAACAUCCAUGGCGAAGGCAGCUACCUGGACCAACACUGACACUGAGGCACGAAAGCGUGGGGAGCAAACAGGAUUAGAUACCCUGGUAGUCCACGCCCUAAACGAUGCGAACUGGAUGUUGGGUGCAAUUUGGCACGCAGUAUCGAAGCUAACGCGUUAAGUUCGCCGCCUGGGGAGUACGGUCGCAAGCUGAAACUCAAAGGAAUUGACGGCUGAGACGNGCGACGGACGACGACGAGGGAGGAGG